Molecule: unclassified non-coding RNA, 329 nt
Filed under: soil metagenome
Description: partial contains 5.8S ribosomal RNA, internal transcribed spacer 2, and large subunit ribosomal RNA
Rfam family: 5.8S ribosomal RNA (bases 1-120)
Source: RNAcentral
GAUGAAGAACGCAGCGAAAUGCGAUAAGUAAUGUGAAUCGCAGAAUUCAGUGAAUCAUCGAAUCUUUGAACGCACAUUGCGCCCCUUGGUAUUCCGAGGGGCAUGCCUGUUCGAGCGUCAUUAUAACCCCUCAAGCUCAGCUUGGUGUUGGGGCCUGCUGCACUGGCAGCCCUUAAAAUCAGUGGCGGCGCCGUCUGGCUCUAAGCGUAGUAAUUCUUCUCGCUAUGGAGUCCUGGUGGAUGCUUGCCAUCAACCCCCAAUUUUUCUAUGGUUGACCUCGGAUCAGGUAGGGAUACCCGCUGAACUUAAGCAUAUCAAUAAGCGGAGGA